This 161-nucleotide ribosomal RNA is filed under the name Silene caroliniana subsp. wherryi. Its description in RNAcentral is "5.8S ribosomal RNA". It matches the Rfam family "5.8S ribosomal RNA". From Rfam's summary of the family: 5.8S ribosomal RNA (5.8S rRNA) is a component of the large subunit of the eukaryotic ribosome. The record is from RNAcentral. Lineage: Eukaryota; Viridiplantae; Streptophyta; Magnoliopsida; Caryophyllales; Caryophyllaceae.
AACGACUCUCGGCAACGGAUAUCUAGGCUCUCGCAUCGAUGAACAACGUAGCGAAAUGCGAUACUUGGUGUGAAUUGCAGAAUCCCGUGAACCAUCGAGUUUUUGAACGCAAGUUGCGCCCGAAGCCUCUGGCUUAGGGCACGUCUGCCUGGGCGUCACGC